AUUGAACGCUGGCGGCAGGCCUAACACAUGCAAGUCGAGCGGAUGAAGGGAGCUUGCUCCUGGAUUCAGCGGCGGACGGGUGAGUAAUGCCUAGGAAUCUGCCUGGUAGUGGGGGAUAACGUCCGGAAACGGGCGCUAAUACCGCAUACGUCCUGAGGGAGAAAGUGGGGGAUCUUCGGACCUCACGCUAUCAGAUGAGCCUAGGUCGGAUUAGCUAGUUGGUGGGGUAAGGGCCUACCAAGGCGACGAUCCGUAACUGGUCUGAGAGGAUGAUCAGUCACACUGGAACUGGGACACGGUCCAGACUCCUACGGGAGGCAGCAGUGGGGAAUGUUGGACAAUGGGCGAAAGCCUGAUCCAGCCAGGCCGCGUGUGUGAAGAAGGUCUUCGGAUUGUAAAGCACUUUAAGUUGGGAGGAAGGGCAGUAAGUUAAUACCUUGCUGUUUUGACGUUACCGACAGAAUAAGCACCGGCUAACUUCGUG
This 484-nucleotide ribosomal RNA is filed under the name uncultured bacterium. Its description in RNAcentral is "partial 16S ribosomal RNA". It matches the Rfam family "Bacterial small subunit ribosomal RNA", at positions 30 to 507 of the family's 1533-position model. The record is from RNAcentral.